Molecule: unclassified non-coding RNA, 89 nt
Filed under: Pseudomonas antarctica
Lineage: Bacteria; Pseudomonadati; Pseudomonadota; Gammaproteobacteria; Pseudomonadales; Pseudomonadaceae
Source: RNAcentral
UGUGGGAGCGGGCUUGCUCGCGAAUACGGUGUGUCAGUAUCAGAUAGGCUGACUGAUACACCGCUUUCGCGAGCAAGCCCGCUCCCACA